Molecule: ribosomal RNA, 592 nt
Filed under: Eriococcus buxi
Lineage: Eukaryota; Metazoa; Arthropoda; Insecta; Hemiptera; Eriococcidae
Description: bacterial SSU rRNA
Rfam family: Eukaryotic small subunit ribosomal RNA
Source: RNAcentral
AGAUUAAGCCAUGCAUGUCUAAGUGCAAGCCGUCCUGUACGGUGAAACCGCGAAAGGCUCAUUAAAUCAGUUAUGGUUCCUUAGAUAGUACCAAAGUUACUUGGAUAACUGUGGUAAUUCUAGAGCUAAUACAUGCCGACAGAGUUCCGACCAGCGCCGAGGCGGUUCACGCCGUCCUUCGGCGUUCGGAAGGAACGCUUUUAUUAGAUCAAAACCGGCCGGGCGGCCGUGUCGCGUGCUUCGGCUCGCGACCGGUCGUAAGUGGCCCGCGCAAUGACUUGGUGACUCUGAAUAACUUUGAGCUGAUCGCACGGUCUUCGUACCGGCGACGUAUCUUUCAAAUGUCUGCCUUAUCAACUGUCGAUGGUAAGUUCGACGCUUACCAUGGUGUUAACGGGUAACGGGGAAUCAGGGUUCGAUUCCGGAGAGGGAGCCUGAGAAACGGCUACCACAUCUAAGGAAGGCAGCAGGCGCGUAAAUUACCCACUCUUCGUUCGAGGAGGUAGUGACGAAAAAUAACGAUACGGGACUCAUCCGAGGCCCCGUAAUCGGAAUGAGUACACUUUAAAACCUUGGUCACACGAAGAUCAAU